UCGACUAUCGUCCCAUGUCUUCCUAUCCUACCACUGAACUAGCAAUAUGAUAAAGAAGAAAAAGGGAACUGGACUGAAAUUUUCACCUGUGCCACAGUCAAACUACAACCCGAGAUCAACCUUCAAAUCAUAGUACCUACCAAAAUCAAGCCUAACUAUCAUCAAAUCCAGCAACUGCAUGCCUUAAAAAUAGCUUAAUAAUGCUAAUACUAAUACAGAAACAUAAAUGAUCAUAAGACUUGGCAGUUUAUAGUUAAAAUGUAUAAGCAAAGAAUUUGAGAGCUAUUACCAUAAACUAACUUGAGACCAUUUGGGAGGGUUUUGAAUUCACUUUCAGGAAUUUUUGCUCCUCUCAGCUGCAGCCUGCUGCAGAUAAACAAAUCGUUGUAGAGCAGGACAACUCUCUCUAUGUGUUUUAUUCUUUUAUAAAUGAAAUCUAAGCACUAAUAAUUGCACAAAAAUAUAGAGAUAGAGAUAGAGAGGGGGUGAGAUCUGUAUACCCAAGAUUAUUUGCGGCUUGGUGAAAAUGGUCGUACCUAAGCGGAGGAAGCACUGACAUAGACGGACGGAGGGCGGACAGGGGGGAGGUGGAUGGAGGCGCAGCAGAUAAGAGGGAGGCGGCGCGGCGGACUGGAAUUCAGGGCGAGGCGGAUUGGAAUUCAAGCGCACAGAGGAGACGCUGAAGUAGGCAGACGGAGGCGGAUCGGGGAGAAGCGAAUGGCGGCGAGGCAGACAGGGAGAGGCGGGGCGGCGGACUGGGAUUCAGAGGUAGGGCGGAUGAUUUGAUAGGAGGCAGAGGUAGAUUAAGGGGCUGUGCAGACGGAGUCAGGCCGAGGGCGCGUCGGACCGGAAAGGAGGCUGCCGGAUGCGCGUCGGAGCGGGGAGGCGGCGCGGCGGACUGGAGGCUGGGG
This 911-nucleotide long non-coding RNA is filed under the name Salvia miltiorrhiza (redroot sage). RNAcentral describes it as "long non-coding RNA (SMIL_LNC007221)". Lineage: Eukaryota; Viridiplantae; Streptophyta; Magnoliopsida; Lamiales; Lamiaceae. The record is from RNAcentral.